CGGACGUGAAAGUUUGCUGCGUAGGGAUAGGGAGACCGGGCCGGAUUGCGGGGAGUGAGCAGGUUCAGCAGUGACGGCAUUCUUAAGAGUCCUGCCCAAGUGAGGGACUUGGGGUGUGGGACAGAGUGGCCCCCAGGGCAGUGGGCGUUGGAAACUGAGAGGUCCUGCGAAGGAGGCUUGGGGAGGGGCUACGGUGACCAGGGAACGAGGUAUAGGAAGAGGAGGGCGGAAAGCCUUGAGGGUGGGCUUCUUGGAUCCCAAUUGCCGCAGAGGCACAGGCCUGGGCAUCACUGUAUUAUUUCCCGAGGGGAGAAGGGGCUAUUUCCCAUGGGAAGACCAAGUGGGAUGAAUAGUGGACCUUGAGAAGAGGGGGUGGCCAGGAAAAGGUUCCUGAAGGAGGCAGGAGCCAGACUGCAGGCUGGGGAGGGUUUGGGCAGCCAGAGGGAGGUGAGGGUGCUGGAGCGGGGGUCAAUCGGUCACUCCGGCCGGAGAUCUGAGUGGCCUCUGCCCCCUCUGCGCUGUGGAGUGCAUCUGAUUGCCAGCCUCGCUGGACCGUUGAGAGGAUUCAUCGAGACCCUGGAUAUGAAUAUGCAGUGUGAACUGAAGUUUGGGGACAUGAGUAAUCAGUCACAGUGGCCCAAGAUUUGAGGUGUAAAUGGAGAAGUCAGAAUGAUUCGCUGCAGCUGUCUGGAACAGGCUAUACAGGACGUGUGGUCCUGGCAGCUGCUUCUGGCGAGGGCUUCAGGAAGCUUACAAUCAUGGUGAAAGGUAAAGGGGUAGUUGGCAUAUCUCAUGGUGGG
This 800-nucleotide long non-coding RNA is filed under the name Pan troglodytes (chimpanzee). Its description in RNAcentral is "long non-coding RNA NONPTRT008234". The record is from RNAcentral. Lineage: Eukaryota; Metazoa; Chordata; Mammalia; Primates; Hominidae.